Molecule: ribosomal RNA, 162 nt
Filed under: uncultured bacterium
Lineage: Bacteria
Description: partial 16S ribosomal RNA
Rfam family: Bacterial small subunit ribosomal RNA
Source: RNAcentral
UAGGGAAUCUUCCACAAUGGGCGAAAGCCUGAUGGAGCAACGCCGCGUGUGUGAUGAAGGGUUUCGGCUCGUAAAACACUGUUGUAAGAGAAGAAUGACAUUGAGAGUAACUGUUCAAUGUGUGACGGUAUCUUACCAGAAAGGAACGGCUAAAUACGUGCC